AAUGAACGCUGGCGGCGUGGUUAAGACAUGCAAGUCGAACGGCUUUUUCAGUGUAGCAAUACAUUGGAAAAGCAGUGGCGAACGGGUGCGUAACACGUGAACAAUCUACUUCCAAGUGUGGAAUAGCCCGCCGAAAGGCGAAUUAAUACCGCAUACGGUUGCUCCUCGCAUGAGAGGCAUACCAAAGUCAGGGACCGCAAGGCCUGACGCUAGGAAAGGAGUUCGCGGCCUAUCAGCUAGUUGGCGAGGUAACGGCUCACCAAGGCUUCGACGGGUAGCCGGCCUGAGAGGGCGACCGGCCACACUGGGACUGAGAUACGGCCCAGACUCCUACGGGAGGCAGCAGUGGGGAAUAUUGCACAAUGGGCGAAAGCCUGAUGCAGCAACGCCGCGUGCGGGAUGACGGCC
Molecule: ribosomal RNA, 408 nt
Filed under: uncultured bacterium
Lineage: Bacteria
Description: bacterial SSU rRNA
Rfam family: Bacterial small subunit ribosomal RNA
Source: RNAcentral